RNAcentral lists this ribosomal RNA (559 nucleotides) under Cordylophora sp. NFR5. RNAcentral's name for it is "partial 16S small subunit ribosomal RNA". It matches the Rfam family "Bacterial large subunit ribosomal RNA", at positions 1840 to 2565 of the family's 2925-position model. The record is from RNAcentral. Lineage: Eukaryota; Metazoa; Cnidaria; Hydrozoa; Anthoathecata; Cordylophoridae. RNAcentral also lists the same sequence under 1 other name.
UAAUAAUCAAAGGUGUAACCUGCCCAAUGAUUUUUAAUUAAUAAUAAUAAAAUUUUUUUAAAAGAAUUAAAAGGACGCAGUAUCUUGACUGUGGUAAUGUAGCAUAAUCACUCGCCACUUAAUUGGUGGAUAGUAUGAAUGGUUAAACGUAUAUUUCACUGUCUCCUUUAGAAAAUUCAUAAAAUUAAAAUAAUAGUAAAGAUGCUAUUUAAAACUGUAAGACGAAAAGACCCUAUAGAGCUUAACUAUAAUUUAUAUUUAAAAAAUAAAAACAUAAAAUUUUUAUAUUUAUAUAGAUUGGUAGUUUAGUUGGGGCGACUAUCUUCUAAAAAUAACGAAGACAAGCAAAGCUAAUAAAUAAACUUAUUGUAUAAUAAAUAAAUUUAACAAUUAUAAAAAUAGGCUAUAAUGACCCAUUAAAAUUAAGUAAUAAAUUUAAUGAAUAAUAAAUAAAAGCUACCUUAGGGAUAACAGGAUAAUUUUGUUUUAGAGACCAUAUCGAAAACAAAGUUUGUCACCUCUAUGUUGAAUUAAGAUAUCCUAAUAAUGCAGAAGUUAU